UUGGUCAUUUAGAGGAAGUAAAAGUCGUAACAAGGUUUCCGUAGGUGAACCUGCGGAAGGAUCAUUAAUGAUUGCGAAUCGUUGCCUUCAGUGCUGGCUGGCUUCGGCUUUGGCAAGUGCACGUCGGUGACUUUCAUCCAAUACCCUGUGCACCUUUGGCCUCUUGCUAGCUUCGGCUGGCAGAGGAUUUUACACAAACUCGAAUGUAAUGAAAUUUAUUGUGUGCGCAAGCACUAAUGUACAACUUUCAACAACGGAUCUCUUGGCUCUCGCAUCGAUGAAGAACGCAGCGAAAUGCGAUAAGUAAUGUGAAUUGCAGAAUUCAGUGAAUCAUCGAAUCUUUGAACGCACCUUGCACCCUUUGGCAUUCCGAAGGGUAUGCUCGUUUGAGUGUCAUUGUACUCUCACACUCCCAAUGCUUUUGGAUUGGGAGCGGUGGACUUGGGUGUUGCUGCUUUGCUGUGGCUCGCCUCAAAUGGAGUAGUGCAACUCUCGGUUGGACAUAGUACGGCGUGAUAAGUAUCUUCGCCGGCGCCUCACUUGAGGGUGGCUGAUCGGGAGCUCUGUGCUUCAAACCGUCUUCGGACAAUCUUUGACAACUUGACCUCAAAUCGAGUAGGACUACCCGCUGAACUUAAGCAUAUCAAUAAGCGGAGGA
This 658-nucleotide ribosomal RNA is filed under the name uncultured fungus. RNAcentral's name for it is "eukaryotic LSU rRNA". The stretch from base 243 to 396 matches the Rfam family "5.8S ribosomal RNA". The record is from RNAcentral. Lineage: Eukaryota; Fungi.